RNAcentral lists this ribosomal RNA (337 nucleotides) under Perithemis intensa. Its description in RNAcentral is "partial 12S ribosomal RNA". Lineage: Eukaryota; Metazoa; Arthropoda; Insecta; Odonata; Libellulidae. The record is from RNAcentral.
GUAUUUGUUAUGUUCUUGAAACCCAGAGAAUUUGGCGGUAUUUUACUCCAUUUAGAGGAACCUGUCCUGUAAUUGAUAAUCCACGAUGAUAAAAUACUUGUUUUUGUUAUCAGUUUGUAUACCUCCGUCAUAAGAGUAUCUUUUUAGAGAUAAAUAUUCUAUUAAUAUUAAAUAUAAUAUGUCAGGUCAAGGUGCAAUUUAUAGACAAGUAGAGAUGGGUUACAAUAAAUUUAUUUAUACGAAUAUAAAUUUUUAUUAUUUAUUGAAGGUGGAUUUAAAAGUAAAAUUAAAAUCUUAUUAUUUUGAUUAUGGCUCUAAAAUAUGCACACAUCGCCCG